Molecule: ribosomal RNA, 316 nt
Filed under: uncultured bacterium
Lineage: Bacteria
Description: bacterial SSU rRNA
Rfam family: Bacterial small subunit ribosomal RNA
Source: RNAcentral
GAUGAACGCUGGCGGCGUGCUUAACACAUGCAAGUCGAACGAAGCACCUUGAAUUCUUCGGAAUAAUAGGUGACUGAGUGGCGGACGGGUGAGUAACGCGUGGGUAACCUGCCUCAUACAGGGGGAUAACAGUUAGAAAUGACUGCUAAUACCGCAUAAGCGCACAGGACCGCAUGGUCUGGUGUGAAAAACUCCGGUGGUAUGAGAUGGACCCGCGUCUGAUUAGCUAGUUGGUGGGGUAACGGCCUACCAAGGCGACGAUCAGUAGCCGACCUGAGAGGGUGACCGGCCACAUUGGGACUGAGACACGGCCCAA